This 380-nucleotide ribosomal RNA is filed under the name Acanthamoeba genotype T4. RNAcentral describes it as "SSU rRNA". It matches the Rfam family "Eukaryotic small subunit ribosomal RNA", at positions 762 to 1115 of the family's 1831-position model. The record is from RNAcentral. Lineage: Eukaryota; Discosea; Longamoebia; Acanthamoebidae.
AAAAUUAGAGUGUUCAAAGCNGGCAGAUNNNNNNUCUGCCACCGAAUACAUUAGCAUGGGAUAAUGGAAUAGGACCCUGUCCUCCUAUUUUCAGUUGGUUUUGGCAGCGCGAGGACUAGGGUAAUGAUUAAUAGGGAUAGUUGGGGGCAUUAAUAUUUAAUUGUCAGAGGUGAAAUUCUUGGAUUUAUGAAAGAUUAACUUCUGCGAAAGCAUCUGCCAAGGAUGUUUUCAUUAAUCAAGAACGAAAGUUAGGGGAUCGAAGACGAUCAGAUACCGUCGUAGUCUUAACCAUAAACGAUGCCGACCAGCGAUUAGGAGACGUUGAAUACAAAACACCACCAUCGGUGCGGUCGUCCUUGGCGUCUCGGUUUCUGCCGGGG